Molecule: ribosomal RNA, 468 nt
Filed under: uncultured bacterium
Lineage: Bacteria
Description: partial 16S ribosomal RNA
Rfam family: Bacterial small subunit ribosomal RNA
Source: RNAcentral
GAUGAACGCUGGCGGCGUGCUUAACACAUGCAAGUCGAACGGAAAGGCCCUGAUUUCGUGGUGUGCCCGGGUGGCGAACGGGUGAGUAACACGUGAGUAACCUGCUCUUGACUUUGGGAUAAGUUCAGGUAACGGGGGCUAAUACCGGAUAGGAGCCCCCGCUGCAUGGUGGGGGUUGGAUAGUUUCGGCGGGUGGGGCUGGACUCGCGGGUUAUCGGCUUGUUGGUGGGGUAGUGGCUUACCAAGGCUUUGACCGAUAGGCGGCCUGUGAAGGAGACCGGGCACAAGGGGACUGAGCUACGGCCCAGACUCGUACGGGGGGCAGCGGUGGGGAGUAUGGCACAGUCGGAGGAAGCCUGAUGCAGAGACGCCGGGUGCGGGAUGACGGCCUUCGGGGUGUAAACCGCUUUAGCCUAUGACGAAGCGUGAGUGACGGUAAUGGAUGAAGAAGCACCGGCUAACUACGUG